UUAUUUUUCUGUGCUUGGUAACAUUAAAAGUUGACAAGAAAUAAACCUGCUUGUCUCAUCAUCAGAGACUGAUGUGUAAGACAGACUCACACUGACAAUGGAAGAACCACAGGCACAAAAGUCUUCUUGGCGCAGAAAGGGGAUGAAACCUUCCUACCAGACCUCCUACCACCUGAGAUCUCAUGACAGACAUGACAUGAUGACUGCUGAAGCAGCUGAUACACAAAAUGCACAGGUUUUGCAAACCAGGGAGAACGCCACACUCAGCUCACAGAGAAUCAUCUACUACACUCUCCUCUUUGUGAAAGUGGUACUGUGGAUCAUCUUUGCCUGGAUCUUGUCUCACCUCCACCUGGGCGCUCCAUGUUUUCUCUUGUCACUGACCCUCUGCUUGUAUACAGGGCCAAUGCAGAAAGCUGUGAACUGGGCAAAGAGGCGUCUGCAGGGCCCGAUUAUAUAAACUGUCACACUGGGACGAAUGGGCAGAAAAGUAAAAUAAUUAAGAAGUUUCUCUGCUUUUCAUAAA
Molecule: long non-coding RNA, 526 nt
Organism: Thunnus maccoyii (southern bluefin tuna)
Lineage: Eukaryota; Metazoa; Chordata; Actinopteri; Scombriformes; Scombridae
Exons: 3
Source: RefSeq, a predicted model, not a curated record